Schizosaccharomyces pombe (fission yeast) is the source of this 1294-nucleotide non-coding RNA. The record is from the annotation of a GenBank genome assembly. Lineage: Eukaryota; Fungi; Ascomycota; Schizosaccharomycetes; Schizosaccharomycetales; Schizosaccharomycetaceae.
AUAUCCAAAUCUGUCUCAGAAGCUGAAUCAUUCAUUCCAUUGGCUAUUUGACCCUUGGCGUUAAGGGUUUCGUUAUAGGUAAAAAGCUUUGCAAAAAGUGCAGAACUAUCAGGGGAAACUAAAGAAGCUGUCUUAACAUCCGAAAGUCUAUUUUGUAAAUCCGUUUUGAUCAGCCUUUGGGAUUUUAAAUCCAUUUUGUAAAGAGCGAUUCCACCACCCAAAAAGACAACGAUUAUACAAGGAUCACAAAUGCUUGUUGAGACGACUAUUUGUUUUUUGCUAAAAUUAAAAAGUUGAGUAAGACGUAAAUUUGAGUCGUAUACACGCAGGCUAGUAGGACAUAUCUGAACCAUACGCAUACCGGAAAGCAAAGAGCCGACAUUAAGUGUCUUCGAGUCCUUAGAAAAGUCAGAAUGCUGUACCUCAUCAAAGGUUUCACCUGCCAAAAAUAUAAACGACUCCUUCUCUUUAGAAAGUACAAGAUAAGUUUCUAACUCGGGAUUUGAGUAUUGAGCUUGUAUUCUGCUUUUCAUAUUUCGUAGCUUUCCUGAAAUACUAACGGUCCAUAGUGCUUCACAGCCGUCAAAUUGAAAUUCACCGGCUAUUAAUGGAAAUAUGUUUCGCCGAAAAACAACAAGACCGCCAGCACCGUCAGCUCCUGCUGUACCUACCAAUUCCAGAGGUCCAUGGUUGUCUUGAGGGAAAUAGGAGUACGAUCCUGCCUUUCCAACGGCAAAGUCAGUAAUUGGACCAAUAUUUGUCAAUACAUCACAUAUUUCUAGACGUAGCGGGCCGUUUUCAUAAGCAAUCUUCCUUUUAGAACCCACGGAUUCAUCUGUUUCAUAAAUAUCAAGCAUAUCAUCCAUUUCAGCAUCGUUCGUUCCAUAAAGAGUAUCGUCUCCUUCAUCCAAUCUUACCUCCUCAUUAGUAGUACGCCGAGACCAACGAAGCAAAUAACUGUCAGUAGUCUGGCUACCUAAGAAAACAAGAUUUUCGCCAGCAGGCACUGCACAAGUGAUUCCUGAUUUAAGAAAGUCAUCAUUAAUUUCUAAAUCCAAAGCUUGUAAUGACAGUCCUUUGACUGAUUUACCAUCAAGUAAAAAAUCUAGAUAAAAAAAUUGACCGGACGUGUGCACCAAUACGACAAAGGGAGUUUCAGUCUUACUACUUGUUAAGGGAAUGGCAAUAGUCCCCUCUAGUUCCAGGUUAAAAUCAGACUGGUCUUGAAGUGGGAAAUCAGUACACUUUGAGUAGUAAGAAUUUACGCCGAUACCGACAGUCCGGCCAGCGGAAU